GUUGUGGAAACUAUUCGCUAAAGGGUGCUCGGGAGGCUACGCCGUAAAACAAACCCAUUUCUAAGGUUGACCUCGGAUCAGGUAGGGAUACCCGCUGAACUUAAGCAUAUCAAUAAGCGGAGGAAAAGAAACCAACAGGGAUUGCUCUAGUAACGGCGAGUGAAGCAGCAAUAGCUCAAAUUUGAAAUCUGGCGUCUUCGACGUCCGAGUUGUAAUUUGUAGAGGAUGCUUCUGAGUAACCACCGACCUAAGUUCCUUGGAACAGGACGUCAUAGAGGGUGAGAAUCCCGUAUGCGGUCGGAAAGGUGCUCUAUACGUAGCUCCUUCGACGAGUCGAGUUGUUUGGGAAUGCAGCUCUAAAUGGGAGGUAAAUUUCUUCUAAAGCUAAAUAUUGGCCAGAGACCGAUAGCGCACAAGUAGAGUGAUCGAAAGAUGAAAAGCACUUUGGAAAGAGAGUUAAAAAGCACGUGAAAUUGUUAAAAGGGAAGGGAUUGCAACCAGACUUGCUCGCGGUGUUCCGCCGGUCUUCUGACCGGUCUACUCGCCGCGUUGCAGGCCAGCAUCGUCUGGUGCCGCUGGAUAAGACUUGAGGAAUGUAGCUCCCUCGGGAGUGUUAUAGCCUCUUGUGAUGCAGCGAGCGCCGGGCGAGGUCCGCGCUUCGGCUAGGAUGCUGGCGUAAUGGUCGUAAUCCGCCCGUCUUGAAACACGGACCAAGGAGUCUAACAUCUAUGCGAGUGUUCGGGUGUCAAACCCCUACGCGUAAUGAAAGUGAACGGAGGUGAGAACCGCAAGGUGCAUCAUCGACCGAUCCUGAUGUCUUCGGAUGGAUUUGAGUAAGAGCAUAGCUGUUGGGACCCGAAAGAUGGUGAACUAUGCCUGAAUAGGGUGAAGCCAGAGGAAACUCUGGUGGAGGCUCGCAGCGGUUCUGACGUGCAAAUCGAUCGUCAAAUUUGGGUAUAGGGGCGAAAGAUUAAUCGAACCAUCAUUUCCCCCUUGGCCU
Molecule: ribosomal RNA, 1000 nt
Filed under: fungal sp. L1 LX-2014
Lineage: Eukaryota; Fungi
Description: eukaryotic LSU rRNA
Rfam family: Eukaryotic large subunit ribosomal RNA
Source: RNAcentral